RNAcentral lists this ribosomal RNA (405 nucleotides) under uncultured bacterium. RNAcentral describes it as "bacterial SSU rRNA". It matches the Rfam family "Bacterial small subunit ribosomal RNA", at positions 28 to 422 of the family's 1533-position model. The record is from RNAcentral.
GACGAACGCUGGCGGCGUGCCUAAUACAUGCAAGUCGAGGGGCAGCAUAAGUAGCAAUACUUGAUGGCGACCGGCAAACGGGUGCGGAACACGUACGCAACCUUCCUUUAAGCGGGGAAUAGCCCGGGGAAACCCGGAUUAAUACCCCAUAAUAUAUUGAGAAAGCAUUUUCUUUUUAUUUAAAGUAAUUUAUUCACUUAAAGAAUGGCGGUGCGCCUGAUUAGGUAGUUGGCGGAGUAAUAGCCCACCAACGCCNCGCGAUCAGUAACUGGUGUGAGAGCACGACCAGUCACACGGGCACUGAGACACGGGCCCGACUCCUACGGGAGGCAGCAGUAAGGAAUAUUGGUCAAUGGACGCAAGUCUGAACCAGCCAUGCCGCGUGGAGGAUGAAGGUCCUCUGGA